RNAcentral lists this ribosomal RNA (747 nucleotides) under Microbacterium sp. RNAcentral's name for it is "bacterial SSU rRNA". It matches the Rfam family "Bacterial small subunit ribosomal RNA", at positions 75 to 835 of the family's 1533-position model. Lineage: Bacteria; Bacillati; Actinomycetota; Actinomycetes; Micrococcales; Microbacteriaceae. The record is from RNAcentral.
AGAGCUUGCUCUGUGGAUCAGUGGCGAACGGGUGAGUAACACGUGAGCAACCUGCCCCGGACUCUGGGAUAAGCGCUGGAAACGGCGUCUAAUACUGGAUACGAGACACCACCGCAUGGUGAGUGGCUGGAAAGAUUUUUCGGUCUGGGAUGGGCUCGCGGCCUAUCAGCUUGUUGGUGAGGUAAUGGCUCACCAAGGCGUCGACGGGUAGCCGGCCUGAGAGGGUGACCGGCCACACUGGGACUGAGACACGGCCCAGACUCCUACGGGAGGCAGCAGUGGGGAAUAUUGCACAAUGGGCGGAAGCCUGAUGCAGCAACGCCGCGUGAGGGACGACGGCCUUCGGGUUGUAAACCUCUUUUAGCAGGGAAGAAGCGAAAGUGACGGUACCUGCAGAAAAAGCGCCGGCUAACUACGUGCCAGCAGCCGCGGUAAUACGUAGGGCGCAAGCGUUAUCCGGAAUUAUUGGGCGUAAAGAGCUCGUAGGCGGUCUGUCGCGUCUGCUGUGAAAACCCGAGGCUCAACCUCGGGCCUGCAGUGGGUACGGGCAGACUAGAGUGCGGUAGGGGAGAUUGGAAUUCCUGGUGUAGCGGUGGAAUGCGCAGAUAUCAGGAGGAACACCGAUGGCGAAGGCAGAUCUCUGGGCCGUAACUGACGCUGAGGAGCGAAAGGGUGGGGAGCAAACAGGCUUAGAUACCCUGGUAGUCCACCCCGUAAACGUUGGGAACUAGUUGUGGGGUCCUUUCC